RNAcentral lists this ribosomal RNA (497 nucleotides) under uncultured bacterium. Its description in RNAcentral is "partial 16S ribosomal RNA". It matches the Rfam family "Bacterial small subunit ribosomal RNA", at positions 28 to 507 of the family's 1533-position model. The record is from RNAcentral.
GAUGAACGCUGGCGGCGUGCCUAAUACAUGCAAGUCGAGCGAACAGACGAGGAGCUUGCUCCUUCGACGUUAGCGGCGGACGGGUGAGUAACACGUAGGUAACCUACCUAUAAGACUGGGAUAACUUCGGGAAACCGGAGCUAAUACCGGGUAAUAUUUCGAACCGCAUGGUUCGAUAGUGAAAGAUGGCUUUGCUAUCACUUAUAGAUGGACCUGCGCCGUAUUAGCUAGUUGGUAAGGUAACGGCUUACCAAGGCAACGAUACGUAGCCGACCUGAGAGGGUGAUCGGCCACACUGGAACUGAGACACGGUCCAGACUCCUACGGGAGGCAGCAGUAGGGAAUCUUCCGCAAUGGGCGAAAGCCUGACGGAGCAACGCCGCGUGAGUGAUGAAGGUCUUCGGAUCGUAAAACUCUGUUAUUAGGGAAGAACAAACGUGUAAGUAACUGUGCACGUCUUGACGGUACCUAAUCAGAAAGCCACGGCUAACUACGUG